RNAcentral lists this ribosomal RNA (238 nucleotides) under uncultured Peptoniphilus sp. Its description in RNAcentral is "partial 16S ribosomal RNA". It matches the Rfam family "Bacterial small subunit ribosomal RNA", at positions 96 to 334 of the family's 1533-position model. Lineage: Bacteria; Bacillati; Bacillota; Tissierellia; Tissierellales; Peptoniphilaceae. The record is from RNAcentral.
CGGCGGACGGGUGAGUAACACGUGAGUAACCUGCCUUAGACAUUGGGAUAGCCUCGGGAAACCGGGAUUAAUACCAAAUAAAAUCAUAAUGACACAUGUCAUAACGAUCAAAACUCCGGUGGUCUAAGAUGGACUCGCGUCCCAUUAGCUAGUUGGUAGAGUAAAAGCCUACCAAGGCGACGAUGGGUAGCCGGCCUGAGAGGGUGAACGGCCACAUUGGAACUGAGAAACGGUCCAA